Molecule: ribosomal RNA, 393 nt
Filed under: uncultured bacterium
Lineage: Bacteria
Description: bacterial SSU rRNA
Rfam family: Bacterial small subunit ribosomal RNA
Source: RNAcentral
AUAACAUCCGGAAACGGGUGCUAAUACCGCAUAGUUUUCUUGAUCGCAUGAUUGAGAAGGAAAGACGGCCUUUGUGCUGUCGCUUAUGGAUGGACCCGCGGCGUAUUAGUAGUUGGUGAGGUAACGGCUCACCAAGACGAUGAUACGUAGCCGACCUGAGAGGGUGAUCGGCCACAUUGGGACUGAGACACGGCCCAAACUCCUACGGGAGGCAGCAGUAGGGAAUCUUCCGCAAUGGACGAAAGUCUGACGGAGCAACGCCGCGUGAGUGAAGAAGGGUUUUUUCCGGAUCGUAAAACUCUGUUGUCAGAGAAGAACAAGUUGGAGAGUAACUGCUCCAGCCUUGACGGUAUCUGACCAGAAAGCCACGGCUAACUACGUGCCAGCAGCAGC